UUGACGCUGGCGGCAGGCCUAACACAUGCAAGUCGAGCGGAUGAAGGGAGCUUGCUCCUGGAUUCAGCGGCGGACGGGUGAGUAAUGCCUAGGAAUCUGCCUGGUAGUGGGGGAUAACGUCCGGAAACGGGCGCUAAUACCGCAUACGUCCUGAGGGAGAAAGUGGGGGAUCUUCGGACCUCACGCUAUCAGAUGAGCCUAGGUCGGAUUAGCUAGUUGGUGGGGUAAAGGCCUACCAAGGCGACGAUCCGUAACUGGUCUGAGAGGAUGAUCAGUCACACUGGAACUGAGACACGGUCCAGACUCCUACGGGAGGCAGCAGUGGGGAAUAUUGGACAAUGGGCGAAAGCCUGAUCCAGCCAUGCCGCGUGUGUGAAGAAGGUCUUCGGAUUGUAAAGCACUUUAAGUUGGGAGGAAGGGCAGUAAGUUAAUACCUUGCUGUUUUGACGUUACCAACAGAAUAAGCACCGGCUAACUUCGUG
Molecule: ribosomal RNA, 482 nt
Filed under: uncultured bacterium
Lineage: Bacteria
Description: partial 16S ribosomal RNA
Rfam family: Bacterial small subunit ribosomal RNA
Source: RNAcentral